Molecule: long non-coding RNA, 311 nt
Organism: Mauremys reevesii (Reeves's turtle)
Lineage: Eukaryota; Metazoa; Chordata; Testudines; Geoemydidae
Exons: 2
Source: RefSeq, a predicted model, not a curated record
CAGAAAACGGGGCACCCCGCAAACGGCCGCACCCCGACUUGCGCUGGAACGAGCGAGAGUGCGAGUCCUUCAUCACAUCAUUGCUGAUGCCACUUGGGAAGAUGUGGAAAGAAAAAACAACACCCUAAUAAUUGGAUUAAUGGACCAGGCCACAACUUUCAUUGAAAUGCAGUCAGUUAAACUGCACCUGGAAGCUCGGAGAUCCUGCAUUAUUAAAUAGUUAUAACACUUUGUAAUAGACCACCCUUGCUAGGCAGCCUCUGGUCUGUAUCCCCAAAUGUACUGAGAAUAAUGUUCCACCUUUAUUAGAA